RNAcentral lists this long non-coding RNA (601 nucleotides) under Lonchura striata (white-rumped munia). Its description in RNAcentral is "domestica (Bengalese finch) lncRNA (ENSLSDG00000012813.1)". The record is from RNAcentral. Lineage: Eukaryota; Metazoa; Chordata; Aves; Passeriformes; Estrildidae.
CUAAAAAAAAUUUAUUGCUGCAAUUUCAGAAAAGGAUUGAAAGAGGAAAGAAACCAGGAUUCAACAGAUAUACAUGCUAUUCAGUUCAUUGGAAAUAAAAACCAGCAGGUGGAAGAACUACAGGAUGGGCAGCAAUUCUGCAGGACAGUACAUGCAGGCUUCAGAAGAGUGUGAUUUUCAAGUGUGAUUCCAUGGCAGUGUGGAAAAGAAUUCAAGCUAUGCUAGAAAUCAGCUGGAGUGGGAUUUGCCUGGUCAUGAGCCCAAGGGAGGGCUUUUGGACUAAGAUAACAUCAGGAAUAAUAAUAAUGAUAGACUCUUGCUUUCCUUACUAUGCUGUCGUUAGCUCAACCCACGAGUUUUCCAGCUUUAACCCUCCCGAUUUCUCGCCAUGCUGCUGGUGAGGGGUGAGUGAGCGCCUUUGGGGCUGGGUUGGCAGAGGGGUCACAUCACCGUGGGUGAGGGACGGGGGAACGGGAGGUGCUCCAGGACAGAAGAACUUCUGCCACCGCCUCUCCUCAGGGACCCCAGCCCGCCCACCGCGGGCUUGUCCUCGGCUACGCUCCGCUCGACCUACGGCCAAAAUGACAGGCACGCCCGCGAG